CGAUUUGGGAGAUCCCUCUGGGGCAGACCUGUGAGGUCGACAUCAACGAGUGCGUUCUGAGCCCGUGCCGGCACGGCGCAUCCUGCCAGAACACCCACGGCGGCUACCGCUGCCACUGCCAGGCCGGCUACAGUGGGCGCAACUGCGAGACCGACAUCGACGACUGCCGGCCCAACCCGUGUCACAACGGGGGCUCCUGCACAGACGGCAUCAACACGGCCUUCUGCGACUGCCUGCCCGGCUUCCGGGGCACUUUCUGUGAGGAGGACAUCAACGAGUGUGCCAGUGACCCCUGCCGCAACGGGGCCAACUGCACGGACUGCGUGGACAGCUACACGUGCACCUGCCCCGCAGGCUUCAGCGGGAUCCACUGUGAGAACAACACGCCUGACUGCACAGAGAGCUCCUGCUUCAACGGUGGCACCUGCGUGGACGGCAUCAACUCGUUCACCUGCCUGUGUCCACCCGGCUUCACGGGCAGCUACUGCCAGCACGAUGUCAAUGAGUGCGACUCACAGCCCUGCCUGCAUGGCGGCACCUGUCAGGACGGCUGCGGCUCCUACAGGUGCACCUGCCCCCAGGGCUACACUGGCC
This 594-nucleotide long non-coding RNA is filed under the name Homo sapiens (human). RNAcentral's name for it is "HSALNT0156850". Lineage: Eukaryota; Metazoa; Chordata; Mammalia; Primates; Hominidae. The record is from RNAcentral.